RNAcentral lists this ribosomal RNA (538 nucleotides) under Onthophagus viduus. Its description in RNAcentral is "eukaryotic LSU rRNA". It matches the Rfam family "Eukaryotic large subunit ribosomal RNA", at positions 710 to 1209 of the family's 3401-position model. The record is from RNAcentral. Lineage: Eukaryota; Metazoa; Arthropoda; Insecta; Coleoptera; Scarabaeidae. RNAcentral also lists the same sequence under 1 other name.
AAAGGCGCAAUGAAAGUGAAGGUCCGCCUUGCGCGGACCUAGGGAGGAUGGGUCCGUUCUCGAACGGGCCCCGCACUCCCGGGGCGUCUCGUUCUCAUCGCGAGAUGAGGCGCACCUAGAGCGUACACGCUGGGACCCGAAAGAUGGUGAACUAUGCCUGGUCAGGACGAAGUCAGGGGAAACCCUGAUGGAGGUCCGUAGCGAUUCUGACGUGCAAAUCGAUCGUCGGAACUGGGUAUAGGGGCGAAAGACUAAUCGAACCUUCUAGUAGCUGGUUCCCUCCGAAGUUUCCCUCAGGAUAGCUGGCGCUCGCAUUGCGAGUCUCAUUCGGUAAAGCGAAUGAUUAGAGGCAUUGGGGUCGAAACGGCCUCAACCUAUUCUCAAACUUUAAAUGGGUGAGAUCUCCGGCUUGCUUAAAGCGUGAAGCCGCGAGACUUCGGAUCAAUGAGUGCCAAGUGGGCCACUUUUGGUAAGCAGAACUGGCGCUGUGGGAUGAACCAAACGCCGAGUUAAAGCGCCAAAAUCGACGCUUAUGGGA